This 618-nucleotide long non-coding RNA is filed under the name Pogona vitticeps (central bearded dragon). RNAcentral's name for it is "lncRNA (ENSPVIG00000023663.1)". The record is from RNAcentral. Lineage: Eukaryota; Metazoa; Chordata; Lepidosauria; Squamata; Agamidae.
UGUUUGCUGGCUCUAACAAUCAAAGACACAUUUAUUCAACUGCUAAUGAUUAUGUUGUAUUGUUGUUAUACGUAACAAAUCUUUUUAAUUCAAACAUUGAAGUGUGGGUUUGUUUUUUUAAAAUGUUGAAGAGCUAGUGGGGUGUGUUGGAUAGAUUGUCAGACUAGGACUCCGGAAACUCGAACUCCAAUUCCUGCUCUAGGAGAAAAACAUCACCAGGCAAUUGCAAUGUAAAAUACUCCUUAAAUAUCUCAUUCACCCAUAAACAACCUGAAGGAACUUAAAUCAAUUUGAGAGCCAUCUCAGACCAGAAACACAAGAAAGAAGACAGGAGGUGUAAUCGGUUUAAACGGCUUUGAAGACCCAAAGGCCAUGCACAAGAUCAAACACCGCAUAGGCAUAGCCUUGUCAAAAUAUCAGGGGCUCCUGUGCAACUGAGCCAGUAGUCAACCCCCUCAACCUCACCAGACAAUGACUUACUUCAGGAUGUGCUACUGGUAUAUAUGCUGCCACUGCUGCCUGUGUCAUGGUCUCACAUCCACCUUUGCACUGAUGACAGGAAGCUGCCUGUUGCCACCAAUCAGCUGAUCCACUAGUCAGCUGAAUGUCAGGAUCAUU